Molecule: ribosomal RNA, 301 nt
Filed under: uncultured bacterium
Lineage: Bacteria
Description: partial 16S ribosomal RNA
Rfam family: Bacterial small subunit ribosomal RNA
Source: RNAcentral
CAGCCGCCGCGGGAAUACGAAGGGGGCUAGCGUUGCUCGGAAUCACUGGGCGUAAAGGGUGCGUAGGCGGGUUUUUAAGUCAGAGGUGAAAUCCUGGAGCUCAACUCCAGAACUGCCUUUGAUACUGAAAGUCUUGAGUAUGGGAGAGGUGAGUGGAACUGCGAGUGUAGAGGUGAAAUUCGUAGAUAUUCGCAAGAACACCAGUGGCGAAGGCGGCUCGCUGGCCCAUAACUGACGCUGAGGCACGAAAGCGUGGGGAGCAAACAGGAUUAGAUACCCGCGUAGUCCCUGUCUCUUAUAC